GAUCUGAUUCCGACCGCCAUAGGGAGUGGCUCCAGAUACCGUUAGCGAUCAAUUAAAAACGAGACAAAUGUUUUGGACGAGAGAGAGAGAGGGAGAGAGAAGAAAAAGAGAAACAAAAUUCACGCUCGGCGUGAAAGGAGCCCAAGACACACCGAAAUGUAUAAGCACACACAGCAACAACAGCCGGAUUCCGGUGCGCAGUGAGAAGCCUUUCUGUUCUUCUGUCUGGAAAAAGUGUGUUACCUCCACUUGGAAAAGGGAACAACAACAAAGAAAUGAAGCAACUUUUUUCUUUCUUUUUUUCAUGGUGAGACCACACCAACUUCAUUGUCAACUUGCGAAAGCUCAUCGCAACCAUGGUGAUAUAGAAAGCACAGUUAUGUCACAGCUUUGGGUUUUUUUCUUGGCGCACAUAGAGAGAGACCAUUUUAGUUUUCUUUCGAUUAGACAGGUAGAAGAGAACGGGUUCUAACCGUGGCCUUAUAUUAAGUUUUCUUUAUUUUUUCGUUCAUCACCAGCUUUAGAAUAUUAGCAAAAUGUCUGUAUUUCUUUUACUCGUGUUAUGCAGUGGCCCAUCACAAUCCAGCAGUCACGAUCUCUCGCUUUUAUAUGAAGACAUUUUCGUUCUUAUUUUCAUUUCAGUCCAGACGCUCGUCUGAAAUAUGGGGGACAAGAAGCUU
Molecule: long non-coding RNA, 680 nt
Organism: Daphnia magna
Lineage: Eukaryota; Metazoa; Arthropoda; Branchiopoda; Diplostraca; Daphniidae
Exons: 2
Source: RefSeq, a predicted model, not a curated record